Molecule: long non-coding RNA, 555 nt
Organism: Anneissia japonica
Lineage: Eukaryota; Metazoa; Echinodermata; Crinoidea; Comatulida; Comatulidae
Exons: 4
Source: RefSeq, a predicted model, not a curated record
AGAUUUAAGUGAGGAUAUGGACUUACGGUCUGAAAUAAAUGUGAAAUGAAAUGAAAAUAAAAAUAUUAAGAGGGCCGGCGUAGCGACAAACACAGAUUCCAAGCUGUGAAUAAGGACAGUGUGGCUAUGUCAAGUCCCAACACACCUAGAAAUACACUGAUUGGAGAUUAGAUUGACAAUCCAGUAUACAGUACUGUACGACACUAUAUUCUGUUGAGUCCCAGCCACAACCGAUGUACCAACCGCUUCUACAAUGGGGUUUUUGGUGGUUGCACACAAUCCAGGUCAUUGUCAGUUUAGAGCUUGAUGGUGUUGCUCGUUUUCGUUUAGAUAAAUGGAGAUAACUACAAGCUAUCACAUACUAUUACCAUGACCUUCUACACCAACCCAGGGAACAGAGGACCCUGCGGAAAAUACCUCAAAUACCAACAGAGGGUGCACGUCAUCAGAUGACAUCGGCCGAUGACGAAAUGAUCUGAGAUUAGGUCAUUUACCUGAUGAAGAUACUAUUUCGAAACCGGUUUAAAUACUGUAGUGUUUAAACAAGCUUAAAAA